CUGGGGCUAUAGCUCAGUUGGUAGGGUGCUUGCUUUGCAUGCACAAGACCCUGGGUUCAAUUCCCAGCACCAGA
RNAcentral lists this transfer RNA (74 nucleotides) under Marmota monax (woodchuck). RNAcentral's name for it is "tRNA.Ala". It matches the Rfam family "tRNA". Rfam says of the family: Transfer RNA (tRNA) molecules are approximately 80 nucleotides in length. Their secondary structure includes four short double-helical elements and three loops (D, anti-codon, and T loops). Lineage: Eukaryota; Metazoa; Chordata; Mammalia; Rodentia; Sciuridae. The record is from RNAcentral.